UACGGAGGGUGCGAGCGUUGUCCGGAAUCAUUGGGCGUAAAGGGCGCGUAGGUGGCCCGGUCAGCGUGCGGUGAAAGCUCGGGGCUCAACCCCGAGUCGGCCGUGCGAACUGCUGGGCUCGAGCACUGUAGAGGCAGGCGGAAUUCCGGGUGUAGCGGUGGAAUGCGUAGAGAUCCGGAAGAACACCGGUGGCGAAGGCGGCCUGCUGGGCAGUAGCUGACACUGAGGCGCGACAGCGUGGGGAGCAAACAGG
RNAcentral lists this ribosomal RNA (253 nucleotides) under uncultured bacterium. RNAcentral's name for it is "partial 16S ribosomal RNA". It matches the Rfam family "Bacterial small subunit ribosomal RNA", at positions 524 to 776 of the family's 1533-position model. The record is from RNAcentral. RNAcentral also lists the same sequence under 1 other name.